This 253-nucleotide ribosomal RNA is filed under the name uncultured bacterium. Its description in RNAcentral is "partial 16S ribosomal RNA". It matches the Rfam family "Bacterial small subunit ribosomal RNA", at positions 524 to 776 of the family's 1533-position model. The record is from RNAcentral.
UACGAGGGGGGCGAGCGUUGUUCGGAAUUAUUGGGCGUAAAGGGUGCGUAGGCGGUUCCGCAAGUCCUGUGUGAAAUCUUCGGGCUCAACUCGAAGUCUGCACGGGAAACUGCGGGGCUUGAGUGUGGGAGAGGUGAGUGGAAUUCCUGGUGUAGCGGUGAAAUGCGUAGAUAUCAGGAGGAACACCUGUGGCGAAAGCGGGUCUCUGGGCCGUAACUGACGCUGAGGAGCGAAAGCGUGGGGAGCGAACAGG